UUCUGAGAGUGAUUUAUCUUAUUUUGUGAAAAUAUAUUAAAGGUCCGAUAUAGUAUGAUAUUGUGUAUAUCUAAUUGUAUGCUUUAUUUGCGAAUUAUUGUAUGCUCCUUGAGUGAAAAAACGAGAUGUAAGGACCAAUUGGAUGUUGAAAUAAGUUAUCAUGCAAUAACUUAUUCGGCAUGAGUAUUUUCUUUUAUGAUUAGAAGCUAGAAGCUUGAGAUGAUAGUAUAUUUCACCGAUGAGGUGGUCUAUCUUAUUUAGAGAAAACAACUUGAAGGCUAAAUAUGAUAUAUCAAUUUGGACAUCAAAUUCAACUAGGAUAAAAUUAAUACAUUAUUAAGAAAAUUUCAAUGUAAGAGAAUUUUUUAGACGUCGCUUGGAGGAAACGUCCCCGAGCGUUCAUAUAAUAUAGCAAAUAUUGACACAUCAAAAAAUAUCGUCAUAUAAAAUAUCUUUUGUAUCAAAUCAAUUUAUUAAAUAAUAAAUUUUACUAUUAUUUUUAAUUUUUCGACACUUUAAAGCUUCAGAAUUUUAAAAAAUUCUGAUGCUUUAAAGUGUCAGAAUAUAUUUUACCGACGCUGGGCAUAAGCGUCUGUAUAUACGUGGCGGCUAUUCAUUUACUAAUGUUUUAACCGACGCUUUCAAAUAUGAUGUUAGACUAUAUUGGGAGGCUUUUACGCAUUGUUAAAUAAAAAAAAACGUCCUUAAAUAUUAAUUAAUUUUCUUGUAGUGAUAUUAUAUGAAUAGUGGUUACUAUCCACUUUUUCAUCCUUGGAUUAUUACUAUUUCAUCAACUCCCCACUAAACCCUAGGCAUCGGAUGGUCAAAAAGUAGACGGUAAAUACUAUUUAUGUACUAUUAAUAAUAUUGUUGCACAAUUCCUAGACAUUUUAUUCCACUCUUCAUCUACCAAAUAUUAUAAACUUUUUGCGUAAAUUAAAAAGAUAUGCUAGACAAAAUGUUCAUGUAUUCAAACAGAAUCUAAAUAUUUUAUUUCU
This 998-nucleotide long non-coding RNA is filed under the name Ananas comosus (pineapple). RNAcentral describes it as "long non-coding RNA (ACOM_LNC025424)". Lineage: Eukaryota; Viridiplantae; Streptophyta; Magnoliopsida; Poales; Bromeliaceae. The record is from RNAcentral.